GACGGAGGAUGCAAGCGUUAUCCGGAAUUAUUGGGCGUAAAGCGUCCGCAGGUGGCACUUCAAGUCUGUCGUCAAAGACCGGGGCUUAACCCUGGAAAGGCGAUGGAAACUGAAAGGCUAGAGAGAGGUAGGGGUAGAGGGAAUUCCCAGUGUAGCGGUGAAAUGCGUAGAGAUUGGGAAGAACAUCGGUGGCGAAAGCGCUCUACUGGACCUCAUCUGACACUCAGGGACGAAAGCUAGGGGAGCGAAUGGG
RNAcentral lists this ribosomal RNA (253 nucleotides) under uncultured bacterium. Its description in RNAcentral is "partial 16S ribosomal RNA". It matches the Rfam family "Bacterial small subunit ribosomal RNA", at positions 524 to 776 of the family's 1533-position model. The record is from RNAcentral.